RNAcentral lists this ribosomal RNA (559 nucleotides) under uncultured bacterium. RNAcentral describes it as "bacterial SSU rRNA". It matches the Rfam family "Bacterial small subunit ribosomal RNA", at positions 120 to 674 of the family's 1533-position model. The record is from RNAcentral.
GGGAAACUGCCUGAUGGAGGGGGAUAACUACUGGAAACGGUAGCUAAUACCGCAUAACGUCGCAAGACCAAAGAGGGGGACCUUCGGGCCUCUUGCCAUCAGAUGUGCCCAGAUGGGAUUAGCUAGUAGGUGGGGUAACGGCUCACCUAGGCGACGAUCCCUAGCUGGUCUGAGAGGAUGACCAGCCACACUGGAACUGAGACACGGUCCAGACUCCUACGGGAGGCAGCAGUGGGGAAUAUUGCACAAUGGGCGCAAGCCUGAUGCAGCCAUGCCGCGUGUAUGAAGAAGGCCUUCAGGUUGUAAAGUACUUUCAGCGGGGAGGAAGGCGAUAAGGUUAAUAACCUUGUCGAUUGACGUUACCCGCAGAAGAAGCACCGGCUAACUCCGUGCCAGCAGCCGCGGUAAUACGGAGGGUGCAAGCGUUAAUCGGAAUUACUGGGCGUAAAGCGCACGCAGGCGGUCUGUCAAGUCGGAUGUGAAAUCCCCGGGCUCAACCUGGGAACUGCAUUCGAAACUGGCAGGCUGGAGUCUUGUAGAGGGGGGUAGAAUUCCAGGU